CCUACGGGGGGCAGCAGUGGGGAAUAUUGGGCAAUGGACGAAACUCUGACCCAGCAACGCCGCGUGAAGGAUGAAGGUCCUCGGAGUGUAAAGCUCUUUUCGAAGGGAAGCAGAAAGCGACGGUACCUUAGGAAGAAGCCUCGGCUAACUACGGGCCAGCAGCCGCGGCAAUACGGAGGAGGCGAGCGUUAGCCGGAAGGGCUGGGGGUCAAGGGUGCGUAGGUGGGUAGGCAAGUUAGUAGCGAAACUCCAAGGCUCAACCUUGGAACUACUGCUAAAACUGUUGGACUUGAGUGCAGGAGGGGCAAGCGGAAUGCCUGGUGUAGCGGUGGAAUGCGUAGAUAUUAGGAAGAACACCGGUGGCGAAGGCAGGUUGCCAGCCUGUAACUGACGCUGAGGCACGAAAGCGUGGGGAGCAAACAGGAUUAGAUACCCUGGUAGUC
Molecule: ribosomal RNA, 443 nt
Filed under: uncultured bacterium
Lineage: Bacteria
Description: partial 16S ribosomal RNA
Rfam family: Bacterial small subunit ribosomal RNA
Source: RNAcentral